CGUGGCUUAGUGGUGAACGCUCCUCUAGUUAGGGCCAAAAGAGGAAUAACCUUUCCUUUCUUUUUUCCUAGCAAAAACUUACGGGAGGAAAGAAUGUAAAUACAAAACUAAUUUUCCAAUGGUCAAACUACGUACUGGAACAAGAAGACAUGAAAUCUGGAUUGUACAGAAAAUUAAGCUGGCGGUGACAGGACAAGAGCAUUUCUGGACGACCGCAUUGUGCCCGAGUGGAUGGAGGACUAGCUGGGCACCUGGACACCUGAGUCCUUGCCCUAGCCCUGCCUUACUGGAGAAGUUUGCACAAGUCUGAACAGUCAUGCACAAGCUUGCACAAACCUUGCACAAGUCUGCCCAGCAUCACUCUCUGCUUUGCUGUGCUCUUAUAAAGUGGAAUGAGGAUGGUGACCUUCUCCUUCAAGUGCUUUGCGAUCUGCUAGCAAACAGCUCUGUGCAAGUCCUAGCCGGUGACAAAGAAGAGUAGGAGGCUGGAUCCAAUGUCUGGGAAAU
RNAcentral lists this long non-coding RNA (507 nucleotides) under Crocodylus porosus (Australian saltwater crocodile). RNAcentral describes it as "lncRNA (ENSCPRG00005013177.1)". Lineage: Eukaryota; Metazoa; Chordata; Crocodylia; Crocodylidae. The record is from RNAcentral.